GUGGGGAAUUUUGGACAAUGGGCGCAAGCCUGAUCCAGCAAUGCCGCGUGUGUGAAGAAGGCCUUCGGGUUGUAAAGCACUUUUGGCAGGAAAGAAAUAGUGCGUGCUAAUACCAUGCGCGAAUGACGGUACCUGCAGAAUAAGCACCGGCUAACUACGUGCCAGCAGCCGCGGUAAGACGUAGGGUGCAAGCGUUAAUCGGAAUUACUGGGCGUAAAGCGUGCGCAGGCGGUUUUGUAAGAAAGGUGUGAAAUCCCCGGGCUCAACCUGGGAACUGCACUUGUGACUGCAAGGCUAGAGUGUGUCAGAGGGAGGUGGAAUUCCGCGUGUAGCAGUGAAAUGCGUAGAGAUGCGGAGGAACACCGAUGGCGAAGGCAGCCUCCUGGGAUAACACUGACGCUCAGGCACGAAAGCGUGGGGAGCAAACAGGAUUAGAAACCCCUGUAGUCC
This 450-nucleotide ribosomal RNA is filed under the name uncultured bacterium. RNAcentral's name for it is "partial 16S ribosomal RNA". It matches the Rfam family "Bacterial small subunit ribosomal RNA", at positions 354 to 796 of the family's 1533-position model. The record is from RNAcentral.